GGGGCAUUUAAUGCCAAGGCAUCUGAUGAUGAGGGCUGCUCUUGAGCAUAGGAGUUGGAAGUUUCCCUGGAGAUGGAACUGGCUGGAUGCAACAAACCAGGAGGAGGGCUAAGCCUGGACAUGACAGACAUCUGUGGAUAGGAACCUCGCUGUGAGAGAAAUCUAGAUGGUCAGGCUGGCCAGUUGGAUCAGGCCCAUAUAUGUCUAACAUCUGGAUCCUAUGCAUGCUUUCUCAGAAGUAAGAAUUAUUCCCAGCCACCUAAUCAAAGAGCCUAACAGGCACCGUUGUGGAUGUGGGUUUUUAAAAUACCAUGGAAAAAAGACAGCUCAUGGAGAACUGCGAUUUGAGGCAAGCAGCACAUCUUUGCAUUAUUGCUGAUUUGAAAUACUCAGUUUGCGAAGAGGAAGCCCUAAGGGACAAGUUCAGUAACUAAGAAUGCGAUCGUAGAUAAAAGAAAUAAAAAUGACAAGCGUAAUGGAGGCUCAGCAAAAGAAACUGUCAGAGAAAUCAGUUCCUGGAUGACAAUCUUACCCAGUCUGAAUAAUUAUGAAUAAUUCAUAGAACAAAAUUACUCAGCUUUCACCUUUUCCACUUAAAAUGGCAUGAUGUGAAUCUCUAAUAAAUUUUCAAGAUAAAAUAUAAUGCCAAUUUGAAUCUGAAGAGCUUUUUCCAGCCAGAUGCUACAUCCUGAUUCUUCCGAUACCUUUCACAAUUAUUCUGUGAGAAUCCCACUUCAUCACGAAGCACCAUUACCAAUGAAAAUUACUGUGAUUACAGUGGCAACAAUAGAAUGCCAUCAAAUGAUUUCUAAUUUACCUAAUUUACUAAGGCUGACUGCAUUGGUUUUCAUGCCCAGGUCUUCAUGCCUGGCACCUUGGAUCCAUAUCAGAAUGAAACAAAAGUGGCUUACGAAUGUGCAUCGUGUUCGACACCUUUAACUUCUACAGCACGGAUAAAUGUAGCCAUCUGUUAAACAUGCGUAUAGCUAUAUAUGUUACAUGUGUGUUUUCCGGCAUUCUUGAUGAUUGUGUUUAGCUGCUCCUGGGCGUAGGAUGGCAUUCUGUUACAGGUUUGUUUAUGCUAUAAUGCUCAGGCAUGAAGACUGCAGCAGAUGUUUAACUAUGCAAACAAUCCGUACAGCUAAAUCAGUGUAUAUACUUUUAAUUAGAUAAAUCUUCUUUCUUUCUUUCUUUCUUUUCUUUCAUUUGAACAGCUAUCUGUUUCCAAGUUAGAAAAGCCUUCUGCUGCCAGUAUCAGUUAUGGUUCAACUACAUAAGUAUAUAAUCUGAAAAUGGGUGCUGUAGACAUUGGCAAAGCUGAUGAUGACUAUGUACAUAGCUUUCAGGAUUUCUUUUUACCCCUAUUUAGUCUCUAUUCUGUUUAUUCUACAAUUAUAUGUUUUGUUACAUUCAUAUGUGCCAAUUAUUUAAACAAAAAGCAUUUUUGAAACAACAGAGGGAGCAAUAUAGGGCGUGAUCAGACUAUGUUAGAUGAGCUGUUUUGGUACCAAAUCUACUUAGGAACUAGUCAUAAACACAGAAUGACUGAAAUUUGAGUAACAAUAUUACCAUAUUAUUUAGAUACAGAUUUAUUCUAAAUCCAGUUUUAGUAGUCAGAAAAGGUGGAGUACAUUGGGUUAAAAAACUGUAUUUCAGUGGAAAAUACUGUUAUUUGAGUUUAUACUUCAAUUUUAUCUUUCAUUCCAUCAGCAGGCUUAUUUAAUCUCUGGAAAGUAUUUUAUAAGAGUGAAGAAGAUAAGCAAUAGUUCUUGUCAGCUACAUGACUUUAAUGAUGCACUGUCUAACGUGUCUUAGUUAAAAAUACCUGCUAUUUGCAUGUGUUACAAUACCUGGCCAUUAUAACAAGAGUGUAUUCCACAAAAUACAUUCAAUAUGCAUUCCUAUAACAUAUUUUUAAAAUACUUAAAAUUUGGUUUUUAUUUAUAUAAAAUAUCUGUUUGUGUGUGCCACAGUACUGCUUUUCCAUUGUAUUUUAGCUUUUGAUGCAUUGUAAUUGAAUGUUUGACAAAAAGAGUAUUGAAAUGUUUUCCGUGGUAUCUCUGUAUAUUUUGCAAGGUACAGUCAGUUCUAUUCACAAACCAUUUAAGGCUACUUCAUCCCAAGAAACCAGAUCACUUUUAUGAAAAGGAUGCAAGUUUCACUAGUUUGUGGAUUACAAUCUGAAUCAAAUAUAAAUAUUUGCAUUUGUGUGCAUUGCUUUUUAAAGGUGUCUGUUUUAAGUCUCAACAUUUUAUAUCUGGGAAGAGAUCUGAAGGAGUUACUUUCAGAUUGUGACACCAUAAUGGGAAGCCCAAACUUGUAAAAGUUAUUUAAUUGCAGUAGUGCCAACAACGGCUUGUGCCAGGGUACUCUGUCUCUGGCAAGUAAAGCUGUCUUCCUGUCAGAGUGAUCCCCAUGAAAUGGACUCUGGAAACAUCAUAUCCCUGCUGUUUGAAAUGACGGUGAUGCCCAAGCAGUCCUUGCAGUGUCGUAUAUCAGGGCCAUCACUUACUCUGCCUCCACUCCAGCUCAGGCAGUGCUAAGGAACUGGCUCUGCCCUUCACUUACAUUGCCAGAAGCACCGGUUCUAGAUCUAGAGUCUCUUUGUGGGACCAGAGCCCAAGCCAUAUUUGUGGAAUUGCACCAGUAGAGGGGAGUAUUGUGCCUGGCUCUAGGAGAUCCAGGAGCAGAGAACUGACGGGUAGAAUCAGGCUGCAAAGGACUUUAAAAAGCACAGGAUGAGCUUGUUUCCGCAAUCGAUAUCUAUAUUAAUACACAUUUUCUUAAAGGGCUCUCUACUUGGUCUUCAGAAGCUAAUAAAGUAAAAAUUAGA
Hemicordylus capensis (graceful crag lizard) is the source of this 2833-nucleotide long non-coding RNA. RefSeq lists it as uncharacterized. The transcript has 3 exons. NCBI's taxonomy places the organism in Eukaryota, Metazoa, Chordata, Lepidosauria, Squamata, Cordylidae. The record is from RefSeq and is a predicted model, not a curated record.